Molecule: long non-coding RNA, 899 nt
Filed under: Homo sapiens (human)
Lineage: Eukaryota; Metazoa; Chordata; Mammalia; Primates; Hominidae
Description: HSALNT0091884
Source: RNAcentral
AAAAUAUUGAAAUUUUUACAUAUAUAUCUACUGACUUUACCACAGCCUGGAUUAAGAUGUAGAACAUGAAGUAUAUCACAAGAACUGUUCUCAUGCCCCUGUCAUCCAUAUCACCCCAUUAAAGAUGGGAAAACAUGCCUCAAUAGCAUUUGUUUCUGAGAUACUUGCUGCAUUACUAGAAAAUAACAGCUGGAGCAUCAAGAACAGAGAACUUAACACCCAAGGACGACACUGUGACCAUCUGUGUUGGUGAAUACGUUCCUAGGGGUAGACUCUGGAUGAAACAAGGUGACUCCAAGAGCAAAGCUUAGAAUACCUGAAUACCUGCAAGCAAGACAAGUAGAUUAAGUCCUGACAGAAAAGUAUACGCGGGCCCAAGCUAUUUUUAGCCUCUGUGGACAGCUCCAUAGGGAGAAUGAACUAUUCGUCAACGUCACCCAUAUUUUACUGAAGAUUUUGAAGGUAUUCCAAUGUGACUGACUACUACGUUUCCUCACAUGUGUGCUGCUGUAUCUGAGAUCACCAUGUUUUCAAUUAUCUCAUAUGAACCUGUUUCUGUUCAGAAAAAAUCCUUCCCUGGUGAUCCUAUUGUGGUAGACAUAAAACUGUGCCACCCAGAUCCCAUUCCAGGGAAGAAUAUGCUGCUGAGCUGUUGGAAGUACAAUCAGUGGAAAACCUUGGUCUGUCAGCAACUUCAAGGUUUGCCUCCUUUGCAGAAAUGGUCCAUUCAAAGUCAUGCCCUUCCUAUAGCAGUCUACAUUCAACCACUGAGUGAGGCAGAAAUAAAAAAGUGCUGAUAAUUUUCAACCUACAAGGGCAUUAAUGAGCAAUACCUGCUCCAGAGCUCCACAGUGGGUUCUCAGAAGAUGUGUCUUGCCUGCAGCACAGCUUGACUCCUU